UACGAAGGGGGCUAGCGUUGCUCGGAAUCACUGGGCGUAAAGCGCACGUAGGCGGACUCUUAAGUCGGUGGUGAAAUCCUGGAGCUCAACUCCAGAACUGCCUUCGAUACUGAGAGUCUCGAGUCCGUGAGAGGUGAGUGGAACUGCGAGUGUAGAGGUGAAAUUCGUAGAUAUUCGCAAGAACACCAGUGGCGAAGGCGGCUCACUGGCCCGGUACUGACGCUGAGGUGCGAAAGCGUGGGGAGCAAACAGG
This 253-nucleotide ribosomal RNA is filed under the name uncultured bacterium. Its description in RNAcentral is "partial 16S ribosomal RNA". It matches the Rfam family "Bacterial small subunit ribosomal RNA", at positions 524 to 776 of the family's 1533-position model. The record is from RNAcentral.